CACGGGGGGAGCAAGCGUUGUUCGGAAUCACUGGGCGUAAAGGGCGUGUAGGCGGUCAGGUAAGUGGAAUGUGAAAGCCCUCGGCUCACCCGAGGAUCUGCAUUCCAAACUGCCUGGCUUGAGUAUGGGAGAGGAUGAGGGAAUUCCUGGUGUAGCGGUGAAAUGCGUAGAUAUCAGGAGGAACACCGGUGGCGAAGGCGCUCAUCUGGCCCAAUACUGACGCUGAGGCGCGAAAGCUAGGGGAGCAAACGGG
RNAcentral lists this ribosomal RNA (253 nucleotides) under uncultured bacterium. RNAcentral's name for it is "partial 16S ribosomal RNA". It matches the Rfam family "Bacterial small subunit ribosomal RNA", at positions 524 to 776 of the family's 1533-position model. The record is from RNAcentral.